This 468-nucleotide ribosomal RNA is filed under the name uncultured bacterium. RNAcentral describes it as "partial 16S ribosomal RNA". It matches the Rfam family "Bacterial small subunit ribosomal RNA", at positions 28 to 507 of the family's 1533-position model. The record is from RNAcentral.
GACGAACGCUGGCGGCGUGCUUAACACAUGCAAGUCGAACGGAAAGGCCCUGCUUUUUUGGUGUGCUCGAGUGGCGAACGGGUGAGUAACACGUAAGUAACCUGCCCUUGACUUUGGGAUAACUUCACGAAACUGGGGCUAAUACCGGAUAGGAUCUCCUGCUCCAUGGUGGGGGUUGGAUAGUUUCGGCGGUUGGGGAUGGACUCGCGGCUUAUCAGCUUGUUGGUGGGGUAGUGGCUUACCAAGGCUUUGACGGGUAGCCGGCCUGAGAGGGUGACCGGCGACAUUGGGACUGAGAUACGGCCCAGACUCGUACGGGAGGCAGCAGUGGGGAAUAUUGCACAAUGGGCGGAAGCCUGAUGCAGAAACGCCGCGUGCGGGAUGACGGCUUUCGGGUUGAAAACAGCUUUCGCCUGUGACGAAGCGUGAGUGACGGUAAUGGGUAAAGAAGCACCGGCUAACUACGUG